RNAcentral lists this ribosomal RNA (309 nucleotides) under uncultured bacterium. RNAcentral describes it as "bacterial SSU rRNA". It matches the Rfam family "Bacterial small subunit ribosomal RNA", at positions 28 to 334 of the family's 1533-position model. The record is from RNAcentral.
GACGAACGCUGGCGGCGCGCCUAACACAUGCAAGUCGAACGAGCGAGAGAGAGCUUGCUUUCUCAAGCGAGUGGCGAACGGGUGAGUAACGCGUGAGGAACCUGCCUCAAAGAGGGGGACAACAGUUGGAAACGACUGCUAAUACCGCAUAAGCCCACAGCUCGGCAUCGAGCAGAGGGAAAAGGAGUGAUCCGCUUUGAGAUGGCCUCGCGUCCGAUUAGCUAGUUGGUGGUAACGGCACACCAAGGCGACGAUGUCUAGGGGUUCUGAGAGGAAGGUCCCCCACACUGGAACUGAGACACGGUCCAG